Mirounga angustirostris (Northern elephant seal) is the source of this 4615-nucleotide RNA transcript. It is a transcript of the gene named probable E3 ubiquitin-protein ligase makorin-1, with no coding region annotated. The transcript has 7 exons. NCBI's taxonomy places the organism in Eukaryota, Metazoa, Chordata, Mammalia, Carnivora, Phocidae. The record is from RefSeq and is a predicted model, not a curated record.
AAAGCAAGGGCAGGGCCCCUGUGUGACAACACAGAUCUAUGCCCCUGAGGCUGGCCCUGGUACCAGAAUUUGAACCCUGAGUUCUGACUCCAGAAAGACUGUGCUUGGAGGACGGAAGAGUAAUCACUGUGAUUUCCUGAGCACCCACUACGUGCAUCGUGCAAAAUCUUUAAACAACCCCCCGCAACAAUCCUGAGGUAACAAUGAAGCAUUGCUAACCUAAUUUUAAGGGUGAGGAAACCAAGCUUUAGGGAGGUUGAGUUACCCACCCCGGGCACCCCAGAAGAUCAGGAUUUGAAGGCAGGACCAACUCCAGAGCCCGUGCUCUGCAAUCCUACAGCCUCUCUGUCUAAGGAUCACAAAGGGGCUGAGCAUGACUCAAUCUCUUAGGACUUCUGCCCGAGGGGCCCAUCGCUGGAGGUUGAGCUACUACUUUGCUCAAGACAGGAAGGUGUCCCAAGUCUGCAGAUACUUCCAGCGAGGCUUCUGCUUCCACGGAGACCAAUGCAGCUAUCAGCACCCUCAGCCCCCUGGCCACCUGGAAUGGGGCCGGCGCCAUUCGGAGCCACAUGUCACCCUGCCAAGACCCCGGCUGGGGCUGACCCGCAGGGGCUCCGAGCCCACCUACCUGCCCUCCGUGGCUGUGGGUUGGGACUGGCCCGGGGCCUGCUGGAGCAUGGAGCCUGGCUUGGCGGGGUUGGCCAGCAAGGCCGAGGAGGUUGGUGGCAGUCCCUGGAAUUCCCUCUCACCAUCAUCUGCUGACGUGGAACACAGCGAGUCCCGCGAGCAUCAGCCUACGUCAGACCCCGUCCGGGAGCUGGUGGCCCCACUUCAGAGCCUGGACCAGGAGGUGCAGCAGGUUGUGGGGGAGGGGCAGUGGCAGAGGAUGCCAGGCUGGACCUCCGAGCCGCCCAGGCCAGCCGGAGGAGGGCUCCGUGGUCCCCGGGGCUAGGGAGCAGGACAGUCGGGACGUUGUGUGUGGCAUCUGCAUGGACAAGGUGUGGGACAAGCCAGAGGCUGAGCGGAUCUUCGGCAUCCUGCCCAACUGUAGCCACGCCCACUGCCUGGGCUGCCUGCGCACGUGGAGGAAGAGCCAGCGGACCUUCCCGCUGGACGUCAUCAAGGCCUGUCCCCAGUGCCGGGUCCAUUCCAGCUACAUCAUCCCCCACAAAUUCUGGGUGAGCAAGGGGGCUGCGAAGGAGCAACUCAUCAGGAACUUCAAGGCUCGGACCUGGUGAGCCUGGCAGCUUAGGGGAGAGGGGAAGGCGGCCCCUGCGCUACUCCGGCUCAGCCUUGGUUCCCAGCCUGGGAUCCCCCAAAUCCUAGAAGUUCAGAGCCAUGGAGAUGGCAGAUGAGGAUGUGAGCUCUUUCCACUGUUUUGGAAAGUGACAGAGACAGCAGCAGCAGAUCAAGCCCAAGUUUCUCUGCCAGCCUGGCUCAGGGUCAAUGCAGGGCAACUCUGGUUUUCUCAGCAAAAUGAAAAGCCCUGCUUGGCUUUUACUUCUGAUUUCUAUUUCUUUUCCUUUUCCUUUUCCUUUCCCUUUUCCUUUUCCCUUUCCCUUUCCCCUUUCCCCUUUCCCUUUCCCGAAAGUAGAUUGAUAGGAAUACAUGUUGUUGCAUAGAUGAUCUUUGAAAACAUGGGGUCUCUGAGAAGGAGAUCAGAAGGUCAGCCCUCGGAGCAAGGGAAAAGGUGGGUAGGUUUUUCAUCUAUUGGGGAGGGUGGGCCUAUAUCCAGAUCUGGAAUUAGGUACAUUCCAGCUUCUUAAUUCCACCUUCCCAAAGGGUUAAUUAUACUCAACAUAUGCAAAGUAUAUUUGGAUAAAGGGUGGGAUAAAAAAGGUCUUGUCUCCACCUGUGAGACAUUUGACCUUGUUGAGAAGGCACCUGGAUUUUGUCUGUGAACUAUAAUAGCUGGAUCAACAAAGUGACUGAGACAAAACUCUUGGGUGAAUCUCACAGAGGAGGAAGUAUUUGAGCUGGGUGUUGGAAAAGAAGUAGGGGCCCCUCAGGAGGGGAGAAAUGAGAGCACUCAAGGCAGAGGUAGGCCAAAGUGGGGAACUACUGGCAUCUGGGGUACCAGUCGAGAACCACCAGAAGGGAGCACCCAGCCUGGGGGUGCUAGGAGACAAGGUAGCAGAAGGGCUUAAUCUGUAUGACAGACUUUGCCCAUUAUCAACUCCAUGAACUAGGGCACCCUACGACCCUCAUGCUGCAGAAGAAGAAACUGAGGCAUGGUCUUUAUGACUUCAGUGAAAAAGUGGGGUUUGAACCCAGGCAUUCUGACUCCUAGUGCAUCCUGGGAGGAAGGGGGUCGGGGGGGUGGAUAUGGACUUGAGAGGAAAAAGGGCCAGACCUGGGUGGCCAACUGACAGUGAGGUGGAGAAGGAAGAUUUAAGAUGAUGAAUAUGGGACGCCUGGGUGGCUCAGUCGGUAAACCAUCUGCCUUCGGCUCAGGUCUUGAUCUCAGGGUCCUGGGAUCGAGGCCCCACAUCGGGCUCCCUGCUUAGUGGGGAGUCUGCUUCUCUCUCUCCCUCUACCCCUCCCCCCGUUCAUGCUCUCUCUUGCUCUUGUGCUCUCUCUCAAAUAAAAUCUUUAAAAAAAAAAAUGAUGAAUAUCUUACUGAGCAUAUGUGGCCACAUUAUGGCACUAUUACAUGAGCCCAGAGAGAGAGAAGCUGAUGGGGGAUUUGGACAGGUUGAGUGUGGGGUUUUUGUAGGCUGUCCAGAUGGAGGGGUUCCUGUCUGAUGCUAGGUUUGGGUAAAUAGGAGGAGGAAGAAGAGAAAGGGCCGUUUGUUUAGAGGGAUUCCCAGGCCUCCAGCCUGGGGAGUCAGUGGGGUCCUGCAUUCACACUGGGGCUGCAGGAAGUGGGCAGGACUCAAAGGUGUGGAGCAGAGAGUGAUAAUGCAGAGAAGAACCUAUUAACAGGCAUCUGUCCUUUCCUUUCUGCCUCUCAUCCAUCCUUCUCCGCAAGAAGGAAGCUGGUCCUACGUAAGCCGAUCACAGGUUGCCCACAAACCUCUCCUGUAUUGGUGCUUUUAUUGAAACUUAGUUCAAAGACGGAAAAGAGAUUCCGGGGAUCACUGCUGGCCCAAAUCGACCUUGUGGGACUUAGAGAAAGGCAUCCCUUAAGACACUUUACUGCCAUCUGCUGGAAAAUAGUUGUAAUAAAUGUAGUAAAAUCUACACUGUGAUACCCUCAGUGGCUGCACAGGAGUGGUGCUUUGUGCCAGAUCCGAUGCCGAUUCUUCAUGCAAGGGAAUGGCCGCUGCCCCUUCAAGUCUGAUUGUAUUUAUCUGCACCAGCAACCGGAUAAAGCCCUGACCUCUGAUCCUCCCUGGACUGAGAGUAUGCAGCUGACCUCUGGGAGUGAGGUGCUGGGCCCAGCAGGGUUCCUAGGGGGCACCGAGCAGGAAGACGAAGUGUUCUUCAUGGACUGUGCCUUGGCCAUGGCCUUCUGGGGUUCGGAACUCUUGCUGGAUCCCGAUAAUUCUUACCUCGGCCUUCUGUAACCAGGAUCAACAUGUGGGGGAUGGGGCUGAGGGGUAAGGGUUGCUAGGUGAUAAGUCUUUUCCCUUUUGGGGCUUGGUAGGGGCUGAAGUAGCAAGCCCUCCACGCCCAAGGAGCGCAGCACUGACACAACUGGGGAUCAAGGGAAGAGGAAGGGAAAGGGUUCACUCUCUUGCCAGGGACUUGGAUUUUAACUUUGUUCUUUUGUAGGAUUCUGAAAUAAAACCAAUAAAAUGCAUCUAAGCCAUCAUUGCUGGUAUCUAAAGAAUGUCUGCUCGUAGCCCAGAUGCCCUCCCCCUGAACCACGGGUUGUUUCUGCAAUCAUUCUGUUGCAAUGUCACCCGUCACUUGACCUCUGUGAAACUUCACUUUAUGCUCCUAAGAGUUUGAGAGUAGAAAGGGCAAAUAACAUCUUAGUAUUAGGAAAAUAGUAAUGACAUCAUGGAUCCCAUGAAAGGCUCUCCAGGAUCCCCCAGGGUUCUUGAACCACCCUUAGAACUUUCCUCCCUGCUCUCCUUCCCAUUGGCUAGAAUGCCCACCUUAGUGGGCAUGAGCCAGAGCCACCAUCUCAGAGUAAAGCUGAGAGUUGAGGACUGGCAAGGCACUGAAGUUUAUUUAGCAUUCCUGACCCUACCCACUACUUGCCAGGGCCUGUCUCUCCCCUCUCCCCCAACAGCUGGUCAUUUGAAGACCAAAGACAUCUUCUAUGAAGUUAGAACAGUUAACCUGAGAUAGAGGUGUUGGCAAAAAACUUCUUUCCUGCUAUUUAAGCCUUUGCAAAGCAGUCACUAGCUAAGAAAUACUCCUUAGUCUUUACCAACACCUCACUUAAAAUUAUUUUGGGAAAAAACAUGGCUCCAGUGGAAAUCAGAUCCAGCUCAAAAUAUUCCUACGGCUUACCAUACUGUUCAGGGGCACCUGGCUAGCUCAGUCGGCAGAGCAUGCAACUCUUGAUCUCAGGGUCAUGAGCUCAAGCCCCACAUUGGGUGUAGAGAUUACUUAAAAACAAACAAGAUAUUCCUAUGGCUUACCAUACAAAGUGAAAAACCAAAGUCCUCUUUAUGACCUCAAGGCCUCACAAGAUCUAGCCCAGUUACCUCUCUGAUCU